UACGUAGGGGGCAAGCGUUGUCCGGAAUUAUUGGGCGUAAAGAGCGUGUAGGCGGUAGAUUAAGUUGGAUGUAAAAGGCAACGGCUCAACCGUUGUAAGCAUCCAAAACUGGUAUACUUGAGUGCAGGAGAGGAAAGUGGAAUUCCCGGUGUAGCGGUGGAAUGCGUAGAGAUCGGGAGGAACACCAGUGGCGAAGGCGACUUUCUGGCCUGCAACUGACGCUGAGACGCGAAAGCGUGGGUAGCAAACAGG
This 252-nucleotide ribosomal RNA is filed under the name uncultured bacterium. Its description in RNAcentral is "partial 16S ribosomal RNA". It matches the Rfam family "Bacterial small subunit ribosomal RNA", at positions 524 to 776 of the family's 1533-position model. The record is from RNAcentral.